GCCCGGGUGGUGAAACUGGUAGACACAAGGGACUUAAAAUCCCUCGGCUUAGGCUGUACGGGUUCGAUUCCCGUCCCGGGUACCA
This 85-nucleotide transfer RNA is filed under the name Pseudomonadota bacterium. Its description in RNAcentral is "tRNA-Leu". It matches the Rfam family "tRNA". From Rfam's summary of the family: Transfer RNA (tRNA) molecules are approximately 80 nucleotides in length. Their secondary structure includes four short double-helical elements and three loops (D, anti-codon, and T loops). The record is from RNAcentral. Lineage: Bacteria; Pseudomonadati; Pseudomonadota.